This 223-nucleotide small RNA is filed under the name Oryza sativa Japonica Group (Japanese rice). RNAcentral's name for it is "misc RNA Os07g0523500". Lineage: Eukaryota; Viridiplantae; Streptophyta; Magnoliopsida; Poales; Poaceae. The record is from RNAcentral.
UCUCUUUUCUAAACUACCUACUGGAUACUGAAGUUGUGGGUCUAUUGUGCUUCAUACUUCAAUGUUAUUAGGAACUUAAUUUAAGCAGACCAUAUCAUGUAUUCAAGUAUCAUCGUCUGACAUUUACUCUAGCAAGGAUUGGCUUUCUGCUGAAUCAAGUUUUCUUGCUUAAUGCUCGUCGAAUCCAAUGUGAUGCAUGUCUUUAGAUGGCACUGCAAUUGUG